RNAcentral lists this ribosomal RNA (402 nucleotides) under uncultured prokaryote. Its description in RNAcentral is "bacterial SSU rRNA". It matches the Rfam family "Bacterial small subunit ribosomal RNA", at positions 355 to 774 of the family's 1533-position model. The record is from RNAcentral.
UGGGGAAUCAUGGUCAAUGGGCGAAACCCUGAUGCAGCGACGCCGCGUGAGCGAUGAAGCCCUUCGGGGUGUAAAGCUCUUUCGGCAGGAACGAUAAUGACGGUACCUGCAGAAGAAGCUGCGGCUAACUACGUGCCAGCAGCCGCGGUAAUACGUAGGCAGCAAGCGUUGUUCGGAGUUACUGGGCGUAAAGAGUGUGUAGGCGGUUCGCCAAGUUCGGUGUGAAAUCUCCCGGCUUAACUGGGAGGGUGCGCCGAAUACUGGCGGGCUAGAGUGCGGGAGAGGAGAGCGGAAUUCCUGGUGUAGCGGUGAAAUGCGUAGAUAUCAGGAGGAACACCUGCGGUGUAGACGGCUCUCUGGACCGUUUCUGACGCUGAGACACGAAAGCGUGGGUAGCAAACA